Molecule: ribosomal RNA, 289 nt
Filed under: Paenibacillus xylanexedens
Lineage: Bacteria; Bacillati; Bacillota; Bacilli; Caryophanales; Paenibacillaceae
Description: partial 16S ribosomal RNA
Rfam family: Bacterial small subunit ribosomal RNA
Source: RNAcentral
GUGAGAUGUUGGGUUAAGUCCCGCAACGAGCGCAACCCUUGAUCUUAGUUGCCAUCAUUAAGUUGGGCACUCUAAGGUGACUGCCGGUGACAAACCGGAGGAAGGUGGGGAUGACGUCAAAUCAUCAUGCCCCUUAUGACCUGGGCUACACACGUGCUACAAUGGACGGUACAAAGAGCUGCAAGACCGCGAGGUGGAGCUAAUCUCAUAAAACCGUUCUCAGUUCGGAUUGUAGGCUGCAACUCGCCUACAUGAAGCUGGAAUCGCUAGUAAUCGCGGAUCAGCAUGC